GACAUCUGUCUGGCAGUCAUGAUGGGGACAUAGCUUCCACUGCCCUUUCCGAGUGGUUGUAUCAACGGGAAUGCUCACACUUCUUGCACCCAGGGGUUGUGAUAAGUCUGGGUGCCACAUAGAAUGGCAUGUGGUGCCUCUAGACUUCUUCAUGGAAGAUUUCUUCUUCAGAGAUCUGAGAAAAUCUUGGUCUGACAGCAGAGGGAACCUUUAAUGCCUACCUGUAGCCCCCUAACAACUGGACAACAACUGAGUGGCUGACUGCACCAUUUUGAGGCAAUGGACACAGUGGGGAAGUAGGACCAUAAGAAGAAGAGAAAGAAAAUCCAGAAGUCUUCCUGCCUCCAUAGUGACCGUUAGACAAUAUCCAGCCAUCCAGAUAAACUCCAAAACUUCUUCUUGGUUCAAUUCCCUAAUCUAUGAGAUGGAGUUCCUAGGUUUUGAUAAGAACUUCAUCAAUGAGAUGAUCCAUGUCCACAGUUGAGCACAGCACCUGGCCUGGCAUUCCAUUAGGACUUGGGCCACCCAAAUGAACCUUGGAAUAGCAGGAGGGGAAUAUAUUCACACUAUUUUAGAACAUGCUUUGAAUAGUCUCAGUAGGUUACCUGAGGAGGAAUUUAUUUUUGUCUGACAACAAGUCCGUGCCAUUAACAGUGACAAGGCUAGACCAAAACGAUACUUGAAUCAAAGUUUCCUCACUGCAAAGAUACUCCUCUAAAAUCUAGCACCACUUUCAAAAGGGUAGGAAGCAUGUGAAAAGAAUGACACAAGCCUUUGUUUUGUUCUCUUUAAAUGGACACAGAGAAGUGAAGUCAUCGAACUCGGUAUUAUGAGGACAUCAGUCUUUUUAUUUACUAGCUUUCUCCCCAAACCUGCAGCCUCUUCAUCACAACGAGGCUGCUUGAGAGAGAACAGCAGCUUUAGAGGAAUCACAGCCACUCAGAAGUGCUCGGAUCUACUUCUGUGUAUAUACCGGCUAUUUACAGUGAUGGGAAUGUUUUGUGGAUGGAUUGUGACAAAUAAGAAAAUCUAAUACAUUUACCUUGAACAUCGCCCACCUUCAGAUAAUCAGAAUCAACCCUCACGGGGAUAUGCCAAGUCCAGGAACUAUGCACACCUGUGAUUAAGCAUAGGAUUUCUCCCCUUUGCUUCACCACUUUGUUCUAAUGCUUUAUGCGGCCUACAUUUUACAGACGCAUGUCGCAAACCAGUCUUUGUUAAUUCUGAGCCUCUGUCUCUAGAGAUACCACCAAUAACUCCCUUAAGAAUCUUUAUGCGGGGCCUAUUUGCAAUGCUCAGAAGCCUGUCAUCUUCUUAAAUAACAAGAUUAUUUCUACGAAUGAGUAAAGAGGGCUGCUCUGGAAUGAUCAUCAAAAAUUUUUUUCAUUGAGAUAAAUAUUAGGCAUCAUGAAUUUAAUUCAAUAAACGUACCAUGGAUUUGGCAAAACAUAAGCCAGGAGGGAUUUAAAAGCAAAUGUUUCUUAAAGGGGGUAGGACCAAGGCUGGAAGACAGCAGAUGGCUACAGUGGGCAAAAUCUGUGUUACAGAUGAUUUGUUGCUGUGGAUUGGAAAAAAACGUUUUCCUCUCCCUAACACAAUUCUGCUGGUAAUAACUCACCGAUACGUGCUCAAUGAUCAAAGAAGAGCCCACACGCGGAGAGCCGGGGACCCGUAAAAGCGCUUUGACCCUUUGCAAAUGUGUUUUGUCACAACCUUAUCAGCCUCCUUUGACGGAGGAGGAAAUGAAGGCUGAAAGAGAUUGGUUAAUUUGACUAAGUCCUAUUUCAAGCAAGUGGCAGGGCCUAGAAUGGAAACCGUGCUUUCUGGCUGUGGAGUCUAUGCCUAACCACCUGAUUUCACCACCUGAGAUGUCUGUGUGUGGCUACCACUGAAGAUCAAAGAAAAGUUGUGCAAAACAACAAAACUUAGCCAGAGAAGGAAAGGAAAUCAUUGCUUCUUUCUAGAUGAUGGCUCAGUGGCUCAGUUCCAGCACUUUUUUUGUUUUUACUACACUAUGUUUUUAAUAGUCACACAUAUUUCACCCUCCUCAUUUAUCUCUUAACUUCAUUUGAGUUUCUACCACCUGUGUGAACUUUGAUUGUCAAAACAGUUUGUAGCAUUUUGAGUUGCAACACUAAUUUCGUAAGUUACUUGCACACAGUCCCCAUGACCACCUAUAUGAACAACGGCCUAGUAAAUUUGUCCUUUCUUCCUUUAAAGCCAUGUUUUUGGUUUAUCAGCUUUUGCAAUAUUUCAUAAACUUUACCCCGUUUUUCAAUCCUUUAAAUCUCUAUCUGAUCACACUCUCUGAAACACUGGUUUCACGUCAUUGUUCUGCUUGAAAUGUUUCAAAGACCCUCUUCCGCUCCAAGUUUCAGCUUGGCCUGAUUGACCGAGCAGCUGUAAUGUCACCACAAACUUAUCCACUUCUUACUUUGCUGAUGUUUUCUAGUCAUAACUUAGCUUGCUGUUAAUCUGAUCCCCUCGUUGUUGUACAAACACAUCAAUUUCACACACACUGCCAUGUCACGUCCCUGUUCAUUUUCUCUUCCAUUCAUAUACAAAGCAAGGCCUGUGUAUUCCUUCACGCUGCAUCAAAUACUAAUAAUCCAUCCUUCAAGUUCUAGAUGUCUUUAUCUCCCCUGGCAUCAGGAACCACAGAUGUCUCUCUGAAACUUGUAACAAUUAAUAUCAGUAUUAUGCUCAAUCUGUCUCCCAACUUUAACCUUUUCCUACCAUUUAUUAGUUCCUUUUUCUCUUUCAAAUACUCAUCCAUUCCACUGGUUAAAGUUAGAGAUCUUCCUUUAGCAUUCUUACAUCCCCUACUGUGCUUGGUUGGGGACUGCAGAUCAUGAAGAAGGUAUUCAGUAUCUGUAUGCCGACUUCUUUAACUCUUUUGGCAACCUCAUUUCCACCAUUGACCUCUCCCUGAAACUCCACACUUGGUUGUCUAACUGCAGAUGACUUCAGAAGUUGUUAUGAGAAUUUAAUGAGUAAAGUGUGUGAAAGUACCUGGUAUGAGCCUUGGUAUUUAGCAGGUGCUUGACAAACGAUGUUUGGAGGGGAAUCUCGCACAUGUUCCCCUUUUGCAGCUGAAUAGCAACUGUGGCUUUAAGAACAGAAAAGGUAUCCAAAUCUCCUAUGUCUCCAGCCCUGCCCACUCCUGUGACUUUUGACCCACUCUCCUCCUUUAGCCCCUAUUUGGGGUUUUUUGUUGGUUGGUUGGUUGAUUUGGUUUAGUUUUUCAGGUCAACAAUCUCUGAAAAAUCUUACUUUCCUCUCCUUUGGUAUUUGUGAUGAUAAAUCCCAUGAUUCUACUGCUGUGAUAUCUCUAAAAUCAUCUUUAUCCUCUUUAUUACGUCUCCCAAGAUCAAUCUUAACUUCCUCUCCUUAGACAUAUCUCAACUGGUCUUUCCAAUUUCAUUCCCUCCAAACCUUCUUGCACAAAUGUUUCCAAGUCUGUUUCUCUUUCUAGGUUCCCUGAGUGUCAAUCGGAGUGAGCCACUUGUAGUUGUGCAUCUAUACCUAAAAAAGCAGGGAGCUUUGGGCUUUAGAAUUAGUCAGGCUGGGUUUGAAUCCCCUGUCUGCACGGUGUUUGACUUGGACAAAACACUUAAAUUCUCUCUACCUCAAUUCUCUGUUCUAUAAAACAAGGUUGAUGAUAACACUCUUCCCAAGUUUUACAAGGAUUAAAUAAGAUUAUUUUAAGAAACUAGCAGAGAAUAAAUACUCACCAGCUGGUAGUCACAAAAGAACAUUGCAAGAUAGUGUGAUUCUGUGCCUUAAGUGUUAUCCCUUCAGCCUUUAUAUCUUUAUCCUUAAAUUCAUAUAGACAUAGUCUACCAAUGUCUCAAAACACAUUUCCAUUUUUCUUCUUCCAUAGGAUCUUCUCUGAUUUUUCACACCAAAAGCAUUAUCUUUUUUGCAGUAAAUUUCCAUAGUAAAAGAGAAAGGAAAAACAUGUGGGGAGAGAACAUGGGCAUGUAGUUUCUCAUUUCAUCAUUUUAAAAACCUUAAGAAAUACAUUUUAAUAAAAAACUGAGACUGAAAAAAAAUUAGCAGAAGAAAAGUAUUUAAAUCCUGGCUUGUGUGACCUUCACAUUUAUGUUCUCGCUAUUGAUUUUCAGUGUGCCUAUCAGAGUCUAUUGAAGCUAAUCUUAGUUUUUUUUUUUUUUUAAUCUUAGUUUUUGAGGUUUGGCUUGGUUUGGUUUUGAGCAAUUAUAACUACUUGUAGAGACUGACUUGUCUUAUUUUUUCUUAUAGGUUUUCCAAGGAGCAAAGAAAAAUAUUACUUACUUUUUAAAUAGAAUAAAAUUAUAAAUUAAACGUAGUUUUUUUAUAAAUAAAAUUAUAAAAUCAUUUAAAAAUUCAUUAUAACUUGUAAUUACCAUGUAGCACCAUUGGACAAUUUUGGAAAUCCAGGACACAUGAUGGAAUCUAUAUUAUACUGUUUUUUUCCCCUAUCUUGAACAUUUCAAUCUCAUCAAUUUAGGAAUUAUUUCAUUAUUACUCAUCAAUUAUUCCUAACAAUGCUAAAAAUGACUAAAAUAAUAAGAAAAAUAGAAAAAUGAUGCAGUUGCUUGGAAGGAUGAUGCAACUGCAAAAUAAACCAUCAUUAUCUCAUCAUUAUUCAGCUUCCCUGCUGUGACUAAAGUAGUGCAUCAUCAUUUGAGAAGGUAUAAAAGAAGUCUGGAAACAUUUGUAUGGUCUACUUUUAGUUUCUUUGAACACAGUUUAGAAUUUAGAAGUUCUAUUUUUCAUCUAUAGCUGCAAAGAGAAGAAAAUCAACCAAAGAAGGCUAUCAGCUUGCUAAGGGGAUUCAACAAAUAUUUAUUGAGUUAACAUCAAAACUCCCAAAGCUUUUAUUUUGUGAAGAUAAUUAGAUGUUCAAACUACAAGAUGAAGAGCUGAAGAAAAGUAUUAAAAUGACUAAGCAAAAGUACAGGAGGCCUGGUUCCUGUACUGGACAUUUAAAUUGAUUUCCUUAUCUAUAGUAAAUAUGCAGAGGUCUGUGAGCCAUGUGAUUUUUUUUUUUUCCUUAUUGAAAUUUAUCUCUUGCCUAACUCAGUUGACUUUGCCCAGCAAUACAUGCAAUUCAUUUGGCCCAGGGGAACUUGAUGAAGAGGAAAUGUGAAAAUGCCUAGCAAGAUCACCAUGGUUCUUUUAGAGUCUAUGUAAAUGAAUGAAAUUAUGAGUAUGGCUAUCACUUAAGAAAAAUGUGCUUAGCAGCAAAGUAUUGAAAAGGAAAUUGGAGUUACUGGAAGGUUGAUAAAGAUGAAUAAAUCUGAAAUCAUUUAUCUUGACCUUCAGUACUAUCAAUUUCUAAAAGCAAAACAAACAAAACAAAAAGUAUGAAACUCUGUAAAUUGAGUCUCUAUGUAGCUACUAUAUCUGCCUUGACUGGUUUCCUUAGUUGUCUCGUAAGAAAAUGACAACUAGACUAUUUAAUACUAAAAAGUGUGAAUCAUCAGCCUCAGGAGAGCCACCUUAGGAAAACAGGUGGGUCGUCCUCCCUUCCCUCCUCACUCUUUCCUUCCUCUUCUUUUCCCUAAGGCAGUUUAGGGACUAUUCAAAACAUUUUCUAUAACAUUGACCAUGUACACAAUCAAGAGAUCUAAUGGCAGAGUUGUUAGAUCAUUUAAGAGCAGUAGAGAGAAUAUUUUUAGAGAGGGGAGCAUUUCAGUAUCCAUAACACCCCUAAAAUUAUACAUUGUACAUAUACAUCUACUCCAGUUGCCCACAGGGCCAGCCUUAGUAGAAUAUACUCACUUUCUAGGUUUAAAUAGAAUUUUCUUGAUUUUCCAAUUUAAUAUAGAGUGAGUCAGUGCAGGUGAAUUUUAAUUAGAUUCAACAAAAUGAUACGAUCCAUACAUUUAAUGUUGGCUUAUUAAGAUGGUCCUCAUAAUUGAGGUGGGGAUUGUUACUGACCGUAAGAUAGUGCAUAUUCACUACGGAGAUUCAAAAAGAGCAAUUCAGUUCAUUUUCAGGUAUUUCUUAGCUAAAAAAAUUGGUAAGACUAUCGUUGUUAGAAGUAUUUUAUUUAAUGGGAUAAAAGGCAAACCUUGAGACUAAUGUCAUAGUGUCAGUACAUUUCAUUAAUCAGGUUUUCCAAAUCGCAACUGUAAUUUGGGCUACUUUUGAGGGAGUGGCAACAUUAUAUAAGGGAAGUUCUUUAUCCCAAAGAGAAAAAUCAAAUUAUAGAUUAAAAAAUUCAUUACCAAUAAUUAAUAAUGAACUCUAGCUAAACAAUAACAGGUGUUCUACUAAUCCCAAACAGAAACAGAUGGAAGCACAAAUGUUUUAUAAAUACUGGAUACACGCAGAGCAAUAAACUUGGCAGGAAUUGUUUCAUUCUCUAAUUGUCAGUCAGAGUCAGAGUCGUAUCACUUGCAUUUUCUCUAAAUUAAUGUACCCAGAUAAAAUCUUGUUUCUCAUUCCUUAUUUUUCAAAACGCAGGCCAUAUUUAAUGCUCUCUGUACUGUGUCACCAACAAAAGUAAUAUAAAUUUUCCUUCUGUGCACUUAUGAAGGUUCAUGGAAUUUGUUACAUGAAACAAUAGGCAUACCAUAUAGGUUUUUUUUUUCCCUUCUCCAACUUCUUCCUUUCCACCCCCUGAAAGACUAAAAUACAGAAUUUCCCCCAAAAUACUGAUCUACAUAUUCCUGUAUUUCUUAGAUAUUAUAGCAAUAAGCCUUCAAAAUCAUGAAUGUAGGUAGAAGAAAUAAAUUAGAAAGGCGGUUAGAAAGGUAAUAACUGCUAGUACGAAAUAUAAUCCCAUAGCACUUGGUAAUGAUUUCCAGGAGUUAGAAUAUCAGAUAGUGCUACAGAUCUAAACUCAUGCCUAUUUAGAAAAUGUUCACAUGGGAUAUUAGAAGAGUUUUCCUGUAUGAUUAAUAACAGAAUUCUCCUUAACUCAGGCAGAGAUGGUUUCACUGUUCCUUCUGAUCCUCAUUUGUUGUUGAAUUUUUGGAAAGAAAUUAUUAGCUGUGACUGUUAAACUCUUAGCAUCUCUCAUUGACUUUGAGAAGUCAAAGUCAUUGACUUUGAGAAGACUUUGAGGGAACAAUGUAUGGUUCCCUCUGUCCUGUAAUUUUCCUAGAAACUGCAUUUUAUGAUCAGUUUAGUAGCUCUAUGAAUAGUUUGGGGAGCACAAUGAAAACAUUAUUUUCCUCAAGCAAUGGCAUUUAAAAACUCGUGCUCAUUAGUAAUAUAGAUUCAUGUUGCAUUACAAGGAAAUAAUUGAUCUUUUCGAAGCAAAAUAUGUGUAGAAUAUAACUUUUUAUUUUUAUUUUAUUUAUUUAUUUAUUUAUUUUGAGAAUAUAACUUUUUAAAACCAUCACAGUUAAAUAAACUUGUCAGUAAAUCUGUUACCUAAAAUUGACUUAAUGUUGUAGAGAGAGCGAGAGUCACUAAUGUUAAGUUUCUUUCAUGUGGGGUACUCACGCAGACAGGCUGUGCUAAAUUGAACGAUUUAAAGAAUAAAGUUAGAAUAAUAGUAUUUUAUGUAUCUAUUUAUAUGCUUGGUCAACAAAUUAGCAAGGUUGUGACUCUGACCUCAAUGUAAGGACACUGAAGACGAGGUGGGGUUCAAUGAUUUGCUUUUGGUACAAUGCUAGAAAAGGAUGGGGUCUAGCAUUACACCCGUAUUUACGUCCAAAGCCCUCUUUUUUCACUAUAUUAUUAAAUUAGUUUCCUGAAUGUUUCCAUUUAAUUUUACUAUGCUUUUAUACACGUAUGUUAGCAAUCAUUUUUCCCAAAUGAGUCAUCAUUCUAACUGAGUCACCAUACUUUUCAAUGAUUUCCCUUUCAUUUCAGUUUCUAACUCAUAAGAAAGUAAACAAAAAAAGAGUAAAAGGAUUUAAAAACUGAAGAAGAGGAGGGAGUGGAAAUUCACCUGAAUAAAUUAUGAGAAUUAACUCAAUUUUCCUGAGAGCCAAAAUUCUCAUAAUCUUCAAAUUUCCUAGGAGCUAAAUGUGUUAUAUACUUGUUUUAAAUAUGAUGAUGCCAAUUUACCAAUACAUGCAUAAAUGUAGUCAUAAAGUUUGGAGAAAUUUCCAUCAAAAUAGUUUAGAGCCAAAAUAUAAUUUGCUUUAAACAAUGAGCUUCAAUUAUUCUAAUGUAAAUUAUCUCCUUCCUUAACAAUACCAUCUUCUUAGAAUUGUUCCCCCAAAUAUAACAUAGUUCUUAUCAGUCUUUAAAUCUGCAAAAGGCCAAGUAUAAGCAAUGGAGUCAUUCAUUCUUAGUUAAGAUAUUAGUAAAGAAUCCCUUGUUACACUCUAGGCAACAAUUAAAAAAGAUAGGAGAGAUGAGAGAUAAAUUGCUUUCAGUAAAAAUACUUCCCCAUUGUGUUAACUAUUAACUCCCAGGUUGACUAUUUCCAUCAAUAGUAGAUCCCUGGAGUGGCUAAUCUUGGUUCAUGUGAGAAAAAAAAAAUUUUGAAACAAAUUAAAUAUUUGAAUUCUGAUGGAUUUAAUAUGAAUAUUUUUCACUACUGAAAAAAAAAGGGAUACUUUUAUUGUCGGCGGCCUUAUAAGUUUACUCGAAAUAAAAUAAGAUGAUUCACCUCUUUGCUCCAAGAUAUUAUUAAAGAUAUUAGCAUUUUUUGUAGAUGAAGAUAUUAGCAUAUUUUUUUUAGCUUUCAGCCAACUUCAUUUGCAAUAGGCCAUGCGGUAAAAUUAAAGGCCCUAAUGCCAGUUAUUACUUCUGCUUUUUUACUGGCUUUAUUCUAGAUCUACACAUGCAUUAUGCAAUUUUUUUUAAAUGAAAAUACAGUUUAGUGCACACACACACAAAAAACCCAACUGUCUCAGAGACAAAGACUAUUAGAACAGACAAGCACAAAAAUUUUUUUUGGAAUACCUGGUCUUAAAUCCCCAUGGACAAACAUGUCAAUCAUAUAUCGACAGAAUGCAUACUGAUCUGAUGGAGUGGAAAGAAAAAGAGCAAUGAAAAAAUGUCAUCAAAACCAUUUUUUUUUCCUAAAGAGAAAUGGCUUCACAAAACAAACAAAAUAGCACAAUUCUAUUUCAGUUACUACAAUAUUUUCCGUGAAGGAAUAAUUUGCACUCAUAUGAACACACAGGGGAAAAAAGAUGUAAUAAAUGUAAAAUUCUAUUUCUUCCAUACAUAAGAAAUAACCUUAAAAAACUGCACAGACUACUUCAGGGUAAUAUCACACAGUUGUUGUUGCUGGGUUGUUUGUUUGUUUAGAUCAAAACACUUUUCAUCAAACUCAUUACAGUAGUCAUCAUAUUAGAGCACUUUUUCUUGCGAUUCCUAUAUACACUUCCAAUAAUGAACCAGAAGUUUUGAAAGAGGAAAUUAUUUCCAACUUGGAGCACUUUACCAAUUAUUCAUUGCAAGCCCUUCUGCUAAGUGUCUAAAUGGAGCUGUAGAAUAUCUUCUUGAAAAGGCAAGCAGGAAGGCUAACUCCUUUGCAAGGUGUUAGGGGUUCUGCAUGGAAAUGCUCCCCAACUAGAAGAGUAUGUGCAGGAGAACAGACUUUCAGCAUCAAACGAUGUCAUUGCUAAGCUCAUUAAUUGAGUAGUCGCCAUUGAAGAUAUCUUGUGAUCUUGACUAGCCUAUGGUCUAUGAAAAAAGUUUUAAAGAAAAGGGAUUUGAGCACUUUGGGCAAACUUAGUCAAAUGAUUUCAGUUUGUUUGUUUUUUCUUUAUUUUCCCUCUAAAUCAAAGCCAUCGCGGUGAACUUUCAAUUUUUGCAGAACAUUACAUUCUGCUGAGGUCAUUCCGACACAAAUUUCAGUGGGUGAAUUAUUCCAUAAGUUUUGCCAGGUCUUCUUUAAAACUUGCUUAUUAUGAAAUUAAUCUUGUUCAAGAUGAUUUACCUUCUAAAUAGGCAUUUCAUGAAUCUAACAAAUCCAAAGGCAGCUCUAGGACCAAGAGUUUAUUCAAUUUACAUAACAUGACACACCCUUAAGUGCUUGAAAUUAAGUAUAUCAAACAUGGGAAAUAAUAAAACUUAUUACUGUAUAAUAAACACACAUACAGUGAUUUUUGUAAACCCUAUUUCUUUAGAGUAUUAGCAGUAUUUUAGAGUAAUCCAUUUUAUUACGAAACUCUGCCAGUCUUCAAACAAAUAAAUGUAGUUAUUGCAGUAAAUGUAAACAUAUAAUCCUUUUCAUUAGUACCUAAAUAUGAGUAAGCCAAAACUCAUAAAGUUUCAAGGAUUUGCAUGUGUGUUGGUUCUUGAAUUACAGCACAUUUUCCCAUAGGUGAGGUGGGAGUUGGCGGGAGGCUGGUUCUCAGUUCAAAUCCAGGAAUCUAUUUGUUCCUGGAUAUACCCGUGGUAACAGCCAGGGUUUCUAAAACCACGACACACAAACCCUAUGGCACAGGAGAGAAUUAAGGUUAACAUAGAAAAUAUUUUCUCUUUUCUGGACAGACCUGUUUUGUCGAGCAAAAUUCUGGAAUAGGAGAUUUGGCUCUAAGAUACAGCAAAAUGAAAAAGGUUAUUUCCUUUACAUGGCAAAUUUGAGGUGGAGCAAGGGUAGACUUCCUGAAAUGUUCAAACUUCUCCCUUUGUUUCAGUACCUUAAGUGACAAUAUUCUUUUUAGAUUUGUCCUUCCUACAAUUUAGAAGUAGUUCUCAAAGGGCAAUUUAAAUAUCAAGCAGACAAGGCAUGUGUUCUAAUUCCAGGGUCUAACUCCUAGAAUAUGCAUUUUUAACAAACUCCUCAGAAGACCUAACUAGACUAUAUUUCAGAAUCAUCGAUCUAAAAAUCCAUCAGUUUUUUUUUCUUUCUUUCACAGUGAUUCCUAGUGACACAAUCGCCUUCAGAAUAUGUGCAUGUAAGAAGUUGAGAAUGCAGGGACUAUCUGGAAUUUGCAGGGUUUGGGUAAUCGCCCAAAAUGAAAUAAUGAUCUCUGCAUUGUGCAAGUGGCAAGUUGUGAUGGCAUAUUUGAACACAUAGCAUAUGGAAUAGUAUGUUGAAUUAACUAAAGUCUUCAUGCUUCAGAGUUUGUUUUUUUUUUUAACUGAAUGCUGACAGUGUAAUGAAACUCUUUAGCCUCUAUGUUAAAUUAUUACCAAAGUAAAAUGCUUGCAUUUAUUUCACCAACAUUUUCUGGCUCCAAAAGUCAUUCAUUUAAUUAAUGCAUCAAUAAUCCUCUGUGCUUCCAAUUUAAGAAAGAAAAUUUAUUUUUUAAAAGAUUGAUUGAUUUGAAAGAGAGAGAGAGAAAGAAAGAAAGGAAGCACAAGCAGGGGAAGCUGCAGAAGGAGAGGGAGAAGCAGGCUUCCCAUCAAGCAGGGAGCCUGAUGUGGGGCCACAUUCCAGGACUCCAGAAUCAUGACCAGAGCCGAAGGCAGGUGCUUACCUGACUGAGCCACCCAGGUGCCCCCAAAAUUCUUUAUUAAUUAAAAAAAGUUUAGUUUUUUAAUCUAGAAAAUUGAAUUACAAUACUUAGAUCGUUUCUGUUUUGAGUGAUACUAUGAUGUUGCAUUCUAAUGACGCCAAUAGGAAAAUGAGAGGACUUUUACAAUAUUUAAAUUAAGAAUUUUCAAAUAUUUUAAAUGAGGAUGCCUAUUUCCAUCUGUCCUGAGUGUUGACCUAAACAAUGUGCAAGAAUUCUAGGCAAGUAUAUGUCAGGCAGCCUCCAGUGUGUCUGCUUCACCUGUCUAAGGAUAAAGCAAAACCAAGCCUUUCUGAUUUGCUUCUUUAAAUGCAACUCAAACAUUAAACGGGGAAAAUUUUCCUAAAGAACUGUUCUAUUAUGCUAACUUUCAUAGUUUUGUGAUGAUAAUUCAUAUAUAAUAAUUCAUAUAAUUUCAUAGGUGGUCACCAUUUGUUAAAUUUUUUUUCCCACCAAAUGAACAUCUCCUAGGAAUAAACACAUGCUAACAAUUUCUCCCCUCCCCAAGGAGCAGUCCUGGAUGUCAUGUUCCUGCCAUGUUCCCUGUGGAGUGGCAGCUGAGAGAAAAUGCAUUCUAGGUGCAGAAUGUCAGCAGAAGGGAAAUUUUAAAAAACCUCUUAUGAGCAUGAGGCAUGUGUACUCUGGUGCUCUAUGGGAGUUUCAUAUCAGCUAUAUUCUCUCCGCCUGCCACAAAUAUUCAGAUAGUUGUUGAAAAGAAGAAGAUGAAGAAGUAGGAAGAAGAGGAGGAGGAGGAGGGAGAGGAGGAGUAGGAAAGGGAGAAAGAGGCAGUGGAGGGGAAAGAAAAGAAAGAAUGAGUAUAGCAGUGGGGAGGUUUGGUUUUCUCCUUCCCCAUAGAUUUGUCAUAGGGCAUCAGAAAAUCAGAGAUCAAUGCCUGAACAUGCCAACCUUCUUACCCUACUUUAAAUAGAUUGGUCCAUAAAAACUAGAUUAUGUGGUACGUAAGUGGAUGUAUAAGUUUAUGGUAGGCAUGUACACACCUAUGGGUCUGAUUCCCAAUGUUUUACAUGAAAAUAUAAUGUUUAUAAAUAUGUAAUAUUGAGUAACUACAUGUGAAUACAUUUUCGUGUAUACUAUAUAAUUUAAAAAUUUACAAUAUGUGUGAGUGCUAAAUGUAAAAAUCUAUUUCCAGGGAAAGACCUAUAGGCACUAUUUAUUUAGAAAGCUAUUUGAAAAGGACUCAAAUUCAUCAAGACUAACUUAAGCUAAGCAAAUAACUAAUCCCUUGCCCAAAGGAGAAUUUACUCAACUAUUUUACUACAUCAUCAAUACAAGAGUCUCAAAUUCAAAGCCACCCCCUAAAUAGAUCAUUUAAGAAAGACUGCAUCUUCGUUUAUUGUGCUUAGGUGAAAACAUAAUGUGAUCAGGUUUUUUUAAUAAGUAAAUAUUCUUAAAUCUUUGCUUAAUUUAAAAAAUAUUUCUGUCUAACCAGCAAUUAGUAGUAAGGUUUUGAUUGUUUACCUAAUGAUUUAAUUGACGGUAGCUGUUUUAUUAGGGAGGCUUACUUUAGUAAAUGCAUUUACUUAGCUGAGAAAAUCACAUUUGUGCUUUUGUUUCUUACUUUCAGUGAUAUUUGAAUGUCCUUUUAAUAGAUAAAUAGCUCUUUAUGUAGAAAUGAAAACAGAUUGAAAAUGAAAAUGGUAAUAGAAUGAUAUCUUGCAUAAUUCUGAUUACUGAUAUGAAUGAAAUACAAUAUAUGUGACCUAGAAAAUAGACAUUAUUUUAAAAUGUUCCAGAGAUGUGUCUUUAUCAAUAAAAUGUGCUCCCCCCACAAAAAAACCUAAAGAUACUAAAAAUGGACAUCAAAAGGUUGAUGCAUGUUCCAGUUACUAGAUAAGUAUUGUGAUACCCCUGUAUAUAAGUGGCAUGAAUUUUUAUAUCCUGUAUUUAUGAACAAAAAAUAAAAAUAUAUUUGGUACUUUUCA
Molecule: long non-coding RNA, 13312 nt
Organism: Canis lupus familiaris (dog)
Lineage: Eukaryota; Metazoa; Chordata; Mammalia; Carnivora; Canidae
Exons: 8
Source: RefSeq, a predicted model, not a curated record